Molecule: ribosomal RNA, 402 nt
Filed under: uncultured Afifella sp.
Lineage: Bacteria; Pseudomonadati; Pseudomonadota; Alphaproteobacteria; Hyphomicrobiales; Afifellaceae
Description: bacterial SSU rRNA
Rfam family: Bacterial small subunit ribosomal RNA
Source: RNAcentral
UGGGGAAUAUUGGACAAUGGGCGAAAGCCUGAUCCAGCCAUGCCGCGUGAGUGAAGAAGGCCUUAGGGUUGUAAAGCUCUUUCGUUGGGGAAGAUAAUGACGGUACCCAAAGAAGAAGCCCCGGCUAACUUCGUGCCAGCAGCCGCGGUAAUACGAAGGGGGCUAGCGUUGUUCGGAAUUACUGGGCGUAAAGCGCGCGUAGGCGGACAUUUAAGUCAGGGGUGAAAUGCCGGGGCUCAACCUCGGAACUGCCUUUGAUACUGGAUGUCUGGAGUUCGGGAGAGGUGAGUGGAAUUCCGAGUGUAGAGGUGAAAUUCGUAGAUAUUCGGAGGAACACCAGAAGCGAAGGCGGCUCACUGGCCCGAUACUGACGCUGAGGCGCGAAAGCGUGGGGAGCAAACA